RNAcentral lists this ribosomal RNA (402 nucleotides) under uncultured Eubacteriales bacterium. RNAcentral describes it as "uncultured Clostridiales bacterium partial 16S ribosomal RNA". It matches the Rfam family "Bacterial small subunit ribosomal RNA", at positions 355 to 774 of the family's 1533-position model. Lineage: Bacteria; Bacillati; Bacillota; Clostridia; Eubacteriales. The record is from RNAcentral.
UGGGGAAUAUUGCACAAUGGGGGAAACCCUGAUGCAGCAACGCCGCGUGAGUGAUGAAGGUUUUCGGAUCGUAAAGCUCUGUCUUUGGGGAAGAUAAUGACGGUACCCAAGGAGGAAGCCACGGCUAACUACGUGCCAGCAGCCGCGGUAAUACGUAGGUGGCAAGCGUUAUCCGGAUUUACUGGGCGUAAAGGGAGCGUAGGCGGAUAAUUAAGUGGGAUGUGAAAUACCCGGGCUCAACCUGGGUGCUGCAUUCCAAACUGGUUAUCUAGAGUGCAGGAGAGGAGAGUGGAAUUCCUAGUGUAGCGGUGAAAUGCGUAGAGAUUAGGAAGAACACCAGUGGCGAAGGCGACUCUCUGGACUGUAACUGACGCUGAGGCUCGAAAGCGUGGGGAGCAAACA